Long non-coding RNA from Ictidomys tridecemlineatus (thirteen-lined ground squirrel), 13396 nucleotides. RefSeq lists it as uncharacterized. NCBI's taxonomy places the organism in Eukaryota, Metazoa, Chordata, Mammalia, Rodentia, Sciuridae. The record is from RefSeq and is a predicted model, not a curated record.
UUUAAUACGCUGAUUUUGUAUCUUACAACUUGGCUGAAUUCGUGUAUUAGUUCUAAUAACCUUUUGAUGGAUUCAUUGAUCUUGUCAAAUAGAUAACACAGAAAGUAUUGGAAUAAGCCAGGCACUGAAAGACCAAUGUCACAGGAUCUCGUCACUGGGGAUCUAGAGAAGCUGAGAGUGGAACAGGAAUUGCCAGAGGCCGGGAAGGGUGGGGAGAGACUGGUCAGCAGUACAGUGGGGGGCAAGUGCUGGAGUCCUGCUGCACAGCAGGUGGAUGUGGACGUGACAGUGCACUGCAUAUGUCAAAUCUGAAGAGACAGACAUGCUUACCCAGAACUGAACAUUACACAAUGUCUGUGUGUGUCAAAAUAGCACACAGUACCCAUAGACACACAUGAUUUUGUGUGACAAUUUUUUUUACAAAUUCAGAAAUCAUUCUACUCCUUCUUUUCUUACCACCCACAUAUUUCAGUGCAUACCCACCCACAUGACUAACAAUUUCUUCCUGGAAAAGACUUCAGAAAAACAGAAAAGAAAUGCUGUUUUACAUACAGAUGUGUAUGUUAUGAGAACCAAUCAAUUAAAGAAGACAGUGAGCACUGUGUAUUGUGGCUUCUUAAGAAACUUCAGAUACCAGUGUCUUCAAGUGUCUCCAGGAAGGCUGGGGCCGUAGAGCUUCAUGUCGCUGCUACAGAAGAGAAGUGAAGAGAGACUCACUCUCUGCCCUAAAGUAACCUGAAUCGGUGACUUUACAGGGUUAAGUGUCGGUUAUCGACUCACCCAGGACCACUCGUUUGUCGAUCAGGCAAAGCCAAGUGUGUGAAGGGACCGCAGCAGGACCACCUCCACUCGGCAUCUCAGUUACCUGGGUCAGAAGCAGGAUGAAACUGUAGGUCAGCGAGACACCCUCAAUAUGAAGAUUGAUUGGAACUGGGAAAGGCUUAGAGUGUCACGGUCAAGUGUGUGGACACAGAGAAGUCAAGGUGGAAGUGCGUCAUCAUGGAGCUCUUCCACUCGGCAGCUGGACAUUUGCUCAGGUCACCGACACGUGGAUCCGAGAGAAGUCUGACAGACUGUGGCUCUGGGCAAACUGGUUUACGGAGUUUUCUUGAGCCAAACGCUAAAGUUACAUCUAAAAUGUCCCUUUAAGGUGAGUACAACACCCGGGAAACCAACUCAUCCUCACGAGGCACUGCAACCCGGAGCCUGCCAGCAUCUAAAGAAAGUAGGAACAAAACUCAGAGUCUCUUUGGCUAUUGGCACUAGAACGGGCCGAGAAUGUUGAAACCAGGAAUCAGGUUGAAAACGCGAGGUGACGGGGAGACAAGGUCAGGCCAGGAACAUGUCGCCAGCUCAGUCAGGAGGCUGAGAGCCUUCGACACCCCAGAACCCACGCCAGCAAGGAGUUAAGACUCAGGAAAACGGGCAGCGGAGGCAUUUGGAUGAGGCCACGGGAUCUUUAGAUCCGGUCACGCCACGUUCCGGGGGUUUGGGUGGAAGCUGCCGACGCCUCCCAUGGGUCCUUCGUCUGAAGCACGCUGUCCUGUUGCUGUAAGUGGUCUCCCCCAGGACUCCUCUCCUGCCGGGGUGUGGCUCACAACCCUGCUGGACAUUUCCUCAUGAUGAUGAUGCAGGUGCCCCUGGGGUCUGAUUUAGCUGCCAGGCUGGGGGUCCUCGGCAGUGCCUCGGGUCCUUCAGCAGGUUUAGGCGUUUUUUUAUCAUUUUCUUAAAUGACAGCAUUUUGAGGUUGGGGUCCAGCAGAAGUGUCCUAGGGGGAUCUGGGGCGAGGCAGGUUGUCCCUACUGGCUGUGAGACUGUUAUAAGGCAUGAACACCCUGAAGCGAUUUGCUCCAUGUGGCUGGAAACUGCGGGGACAGAUACCUUACAUAACAGUGACAUCGGUGACAGUUCUCUCUCACGAGAGUUUGUGGCAGCCAGAAUGGGGACUCGGGCUGGCGAGAGGGAACUGUCCUCACUGAGGCCACCCGGGAUGGCAGGCGACCCAGUGGCUGGAGCUUCGUGGUGCAGUGAAGUCAGCCUCGAAGCCGUGAAUCUCUGACCACUAACAGUGCCUGGGAAAAUCCAACAGUGAGCAGGACGCAGUGGACACUCACUGUACGUGUGGUUAGCUGGAGGACAGAGGGGCUGGGGGCCAGCUGCGCUUCCAUCUGCUGCCUUCUGCAGCUCAGCAUGAACCUGCUGCAGCACCUGCUCCUGCAAGGGCAGCGAGGGUCCGCAUCCAGGCCGAGAGAGGCCACUCCUGCUGUGCAGAGCAAGUCCUGUGAAGCGCUGCGCGAGGUUCCACCUGGGUCCUCGGGCACCCCGGCCCGUCACAGGCGGCCUGCAGUUCACCACCAGAUUCUGCACAGCACUCCGGAUACCAAAGCCAGACCAGCAGACAGAUUCACGGUCAGGCAGGACACGUGUCACCGUCCUCGUCCCAUCUCACCAUCCCUGGAUUCCUGGGUCUUUCUUACCCUCUGGUGGUCCUGAGGCUCAGCACCAGGACAGGACGGUGCCGCUGGGCCUCCCACGUGGCCCGUGGGGACCCGUGGCUGGCUCCUCUCCCUGCCGAGCCGCUCUCGCUGUGUGAAAGCACCACGGUUCCUGGGUCCCUCCGUGCUGAAGGGUGUCGGGCUGUCUGUGGCGAGAGGCGGUGGGGAAAGCGGUGGUGGCUCUGCGGAGGCCUGUGGUGGGUGGCAGGAGCUCUCCGUCUACUCGGGAGCACGUGGGGAGUGUGUCCUGGCCUCGGGGAGAAGCUGACACGUGCCAACCAGGGGCAGUGCCCCCUGAGCCGAGGGUGACACGCCAGUCAGGACCCAGGGACACCCAGGAAGCACUGGGCCCGGUGACAUGCAGGUGGCUCCUGCAGCGCCCGGCCAUCUUGUCUCUGGUUCCCAGAAGACUCUGCAGGACUCCAGAUCUCGGUUGUAGGGACAGUCCCUCUGUGACCAGGCUCGGGUGGGUCUACAGGCCCCUCUCCUGCCCGUGCAGGAGUCUGGACGUCUGCCCUUCUGCGUGGGGGCUACGAUUCCUGGAGGGUCCCCACCUGCCCGGCGAGCAGGUGUAGCAGGGUUCCUGGGGCCUGUGAACCCCGCUGCUUCCACACCAGGAUUUAUGAGGCUCUUUCUCCGUGAAAACGCCUGCCCUUGGCAGUUCCCUUGUCCACCGAGAUGUGAGUCCGUUCUGUGGCCCAUGUGUCCACUGUAACCGCGACACCACGCUGUAUUUAUUACUGUGGCUGAAGUUCAGUCUGGAAAAUGGGUCACGUGAGCUACAGAAACUUGUGUUUCCAAAAUGGAUUUGGUUGGUCUUUGUUUUGUCCUUCCAGAAUGAUGGUGGCUGUUCUGAUUCCUUCCCUUUCUACUAGAAGUUUAGACUCAGUUCCUUGAUUUCUACCGGGAGACCUGCUGGGAUUUGGAGGGGGGACACGUGGCCGGGGACAGCAGAGGCCUAGGAACCCUGAGCCCCGACUGUGCAUGACUCCAUUUCUUUAGGUUCUUUCUCCUUCUUACACAGAUGCUCUGGGGCCUUGGUCACAGAAGUCCUGGACGCAUUGGCUGUAUUCUAGCUGAUUAUCCACUUGUUCCAGGGCCUUGAAAAUGGUGUUUUAAAUUCCAAGUGCUCCUUUCUGUGCAGAGACGUGUUUUGGUUUUUACAUAAACUGUUUGAUUUCUGCACAGAGGUAUUUGUGAUGGUGUUAUUUGUUGUCAGUGUAACCAAAACACCUUCCAGGAACGAUUCAGAGGAGGAAAGGUCACUGUGAGGAGUCUCAGAGGUCUCGGUUGGUGGAUGGCUGACUCCACAGCGAGGCCCAGGGAGGCCACACAUCAUGGCAGAUGGGCCUGUGGAGGGCAGAGGCCCGGCUCAUGGCGCCUGGACACAGAAAGGGAAAGGCCAGGGGCAAGACGCGAUGCAGACAUUCCCAGUUCAGUGAAGUCCUGCCUCAGAGCUGCAGGAGACGUCGAGGUGGUUUCUUCCAGCUGAAGGCAGCAGGCGGAGUCUGAGUGUGUGGAGAGCCAGGCCCCCGAGCUCCCGCCAGCCGGGCAGACCCCACAAGCCAGCCUCGGCCCCUCCUUGGGACCAGAGGCUUCUUGCCAAGGCCGCCUGGCCGUGAACCGCGGCUCCGACCCUCUGAGCUACCUAGUGUGCAACCUGGGCAGGCAGGCUUUCCUGCCCCUGUGGUCGGCCUCCGCUCUCAGCAGGGAGGUGCAGCUGAGAGUCUGGCCUGACGGACAGCGAGGCCUGGCCCAGCGCAGCUCCUGGGGUGGAGGUAAGUGGUGCAGAGCUGCUCCAUGGACUCAGGUGUGAGGAGGGAAGGACAGGGCAGGUGAGAGGGAGAGGGAUGGGCCUGGACAGGGCCUGCGGGCCAGGCAGGUGAGGCCACCCACAGCCCUGGGCCCAGGGCAGGAGGACAGGCCUGGAGAGGGACACAGAGGAUGGGGGCCUGGGCAGGGCUUGCAGACAGCCUGUGCCCAGGAGGAGGGCAGGGUCAGUGGCUCUGUCCUCACACCUGGCACCUGCGGCUUGCAGGUGAGCUGGGCUCCUUCUUCUCUUCAGCCCUGCUUGGCCUGGGCACUGCUACCCGGGGGACGCUCCACUAGGGAGCCCAGGCUGCCCCGGGGCUGGCACGCGAAGUGCCCUGGUGGAGGCCCAUGCCUAGAGAGGUGGGCGGGGCACGGAGCUAAGGGGCCUCCGACGUGUGUGGACCGACCCCCAUCUGCACCCACCAGGCCAGGCCCCAGGCCCCCGCUGCUCUGCAGCAGCAGGAGAUCCUGCCUCAGGAGGACCUGUGACACGGAGGAGGGCGGAGGAGGGCCAGGGCGCGCCAACAGCAGUCAGUGCGGAGCCUGGGCCCUGGCACCACGCGUCCCCAGACUGAGAAGCUCCAGCCUCGGUCAUGGGAACGGAAGUCCAAGCAGCAAAACAAAGUUGCGUAACCAGACGACAAAGCCAGGAGCCAAGCUGCAGAUGUGGAGGGAGGGCGGCCCAGCAGCCGGGUGUCCCCAGCUCCCGCCCUGGGGUGGCUCAGAAUGUGUCGCACAGGACGCAGGACGCCAGUGCCCAGGGAUGGCUGGGCCACUGUGACAGAGAGUUAACGGUCGUAGUUCAGGUUUGUCAAAUGGGGGCUGGUCCUGGACCCGGGCUGCAGGAGUCAGGGCCUCAGCGCACGGCGGUCAGUCUCUGUGACUUAGGGAAACACCCCUGGCCGGGUGCUGGGGAUGCGCACCUCCCUCCCGCCCGGGGCUCCAGUGAAUGCCUCUCUGCGGUGACGCGAAGGAGCACCUGAGUUUCAAGUUGACAAAACUUUACGGUGUGGAGUGACUUCUCCUAAUAGUGUCCGACUCUCCAGCUGCCGGGCCCUGGGCAGUCCAGCUGCCCUCCUGCUGGUGCUGUCUCCUUGCCCCCAAGGUGAAAGGCAGCCCGCCAACAGCAGGUCACUGCACCCGUGAGGAACGGCGUGGAGGCCGGGGCUUCCUGUCAGGUCUGCAGCGCAGCUUCCUCAGGCUCCGGCCCCUCCACGGGCUCUUGCCUUCCCUGUUCCCUGUAAACACGGGAGUGAGUGAGCGCGGGGAGCGGGAGGCCGCGUCGCGGCUUCUGUCAGGAGGAGGAGAGGUGGGAAGUGAAGCAGGCAGUGGGCAGGGGUCCUUCCGUCCAGAGAGGAGGGGUGCCCGCUCCUUCAGAACCUCCCUCCGCUGCCCUGCCCCAACCGGUUGCUAAGCUGACCUGCCCCAGGGACUGUCCCCCCUCCAGGGCGUUCAUUACGCCCCUUCCUGCCAGGCCACUCCAGCUUGGCCCUCCUGUGGCCAUCCCACUGGGCAUGGCCUGGGCCUGGUCAGGAGGGAGAGGGAUGGGGAAGAGGCAGGAGGACGAAGGAGACCCAGGACUAUGAAAGGGGCAGAGGACACCCGGCUCUGGACACCAGGACACCAGCUCUGGCCCUCCCCCCGGGAGAAGUCUGGGACCCUUUUUAAACCAGCUUCACCUCCUUGCCUUGGCGCCUGUGGCGCCACGCACGUCGGGAGCAGGACUCGCCACCGAUAACUGGUGGUCUCCAAAGUCUGGGCAGGGGGCUUCAGAACCUGGAGGGCACUCCAGGCACAGGACACACCCCAGGGCUGGGCCAUGGGAGCCUGGGCCUGACUCUGAGAGCUGCGGUUCCUUGCCAGCCCACUAGGGGGCCUGUGGCCUCUGGAGGAACAGCCCCUGCUGACCUUGGCCAAGGAGGACCAAGGAGGACCAAGGAGGACGAGGACGACGGCCACUUCAGCUGCCCCAUCCUGUGGACAGGCUGCAGGAGGGUCCGCCUUGGGGACACACAGGCUGGGGGAGCUGGACGUCCACGGGCUGCAGGACAGGAGCAGGCUCUGACAUCACCACAGAGAGGCCACUGGGCGGCCGAGGCGCAGAGCCUUGUCCCCGUGCAUGGGUCCUCUGGGGCAAUGGGGGCCAGGGAAGACCCGGUCAGGUAGUGUCCCUGAGCAGCGGCCAGGUCAUCGUGGUGGACGCUGGAGGAAGGCCGACCAGAGUAGGGUUUCGGGCGGCUCCAGGGCCUGGGCCAGGAGGGCGGGGCUCUCUGGGAGCUCCCCUCCCCUGGGCAGCACCCACUGCGGGGGCGGGUGGCUGGGGUCUGCCUACCGCACCGGGGCCGAGGGCAGACGCGUGUUUCCCAGGCGAGGACCUGCCGUGGGAGCUGGUCAGGGAGAGGGUGGGUCUCUGUGCUGAGGCUGAAGUGAGGAAGGGGCACAGGGCCUGGGGGACAGGAGGGGCUGGCUCUGGGGUCCAGGGUGAGAGGAAACCGAGCUCCUAGCCUGGGCGCACUCCAUCCGCGUGCAGGAGUCGGGGUCUCCCUCCUGUCCACUCUGUCCUCUUCACUGUCCAUCCAGUGUCCUGUAAGGGUGGAGCUAGAACAGGACACCUGUUCUCUACAAGGUGGCCGGCUGCCUCUCCCUGACCCUCCCAGUGAGAAGCCUGGACUCUGAGGCUGGAACAGCCCCAGGAGCAGCACGGAGCCUCUGGGUGGGGACGGUCAGGUCACGGCUGGGUCCACGGCUGACAGCACACCAGCACAAUUGACCCAGAGGCCUGGAAUCUCCCCCCUCCCCAGAGGGCUCAGGGUCUGAGGGUCACCAUGGUGGGACAACUAGCGUCCUUCUUGGGCCAUGGAAGGAGCUCUGUGCACCAGGUCUGAGAAACCCUCAGGGACAGAGGCAAGGGAAGGACGGCUUGUGUGAGGAAGGACACUGAAGGCAUGUCCAGGCCAGGGGACGCGUUCCCCGCUGUCCAGCAGGGGCUCCAACGCAGCUCUCACAGGAAGAAGGGCAUCAGUCAUAUUCUCUUGAGAUCAAUGGAAACAUGGAAAAUCCCAGCAAGCACAAAGAAGUCGUAGAGACGACUCAAGUACAGGGGCCAAAAACACUCUCCGGAUGUGCUCCGCGGAGAACUGACAUGGACAUGACAGAGGACAGUCUGUGACCUCAGGAGGUCAAUAGCACCCACCCAGCCCACGGCCAGAGAAAAGGACCCAGGAAAACGCGCAGAAUUCCAGGAACCCAAGGGCGGCCCCAGGAGUCAACCUGCUUGCCACGGUGUCCAGGGAGGGGUGCAGAGACGCGGCCCAGCCUGGGGCCGGCCAGGAGACUGAGCCGGCUCCAGCACACCCCUGGACCACAUCCUGUUACGUGCAGAUGCGAGGCGUCCCCAGAGGCUCAGGUGGGAGGGACGCAGGAAGGUUCAGAGGAGAGACGACUGGGCUAGGGGAGCCCUCACCUGGUCAGUGCGCCCGUCCCCUGACAGGGAGGAACGGGGGUGACCGUGGGCAGGGGCUGUGCUGCAGGAGGUGGCCCGGGGUGUGCCGUGGUUCACAUCUUGUCCUUGUUGAGAAGAGCCCCCUCCGAUUCCUGGUGCCCUGACCCGCUGCUUCCCUCGGCCUCACUCUUCUGCACGAUGUGGGCCACUCAGGUCCCAGAUGAGAGGCCAUCGACGGAGUGAGACCUCUGAGACCUGAGCCCAAAUCAACUCCCUCCUUAAAAUUGUUCCCGUCAGGUCUGUUGGUUGAGGCUUGAAAAAGCUGCCCCGACCACGUCUCCAGCAACAGGAUGGAGGAAGGACCACAGGGAGGGUAGGGACAGAAGUGCCAUCGAGACUUGUGUCCUCUCAGGCUCUUUGAAUCAUGUUUGAUUAUUAUAACCCAAACCCACUGCCCCUGAUAAUCAAUGGAUCUUGUUUAACUGGAGGGAAGACAAAGGGACCAGGAAGUGAGAUUUUACUCCAAGUGCGAUGUUGUUGGUGCAGCAGACUGUGAUAAGCCAUCGGUUGCAAUAUCAAAAAGAGCCACCCUGAAAAUGACAAACAGAAAUACCAUCAAUGAAUCAAGACGGAAUCCCGAAAUGAUGUUGAAAUAUCACAAAGGAGGAGGAGAUGAUGAAGAGGACUGAGAAACAGAGGAAACAAACAGAAACCAAACAGUGAAAUGGCAGAGAUGAGCACUAAUGUUAAAUAGUACACUAAAUGUAAGUGGUCUAGAUGUGCCAAUCAAAAGUCACAGACUGCCGAGUGAAUAAAGAAAAUCCUCCCAGCUACAGACACUUGAGGGAAACUCACUUCAAACUCAGGGGCACAGUAAGCUUGAAAGUAGGAUGAAGCAAGAUACAGUGUGCAGCACUGAAUUUUUUUAAAAAAGAGGCAGCUGAUAACUACAAAGUAGAACUAAGAGCAAUAAUAAUAAUAAUAAUAAUAAUAAUAAUAAUGCUGAGCAAAGAGGGACAUUACAUGUAGGGUGGAAGGAUCAAUCCACUUGGAAAUGCUAGUGACCCCAAGUGUGUUGCACCAAGCAACAGAGCUCAAAACAUGGGUCAAGACCUGAGAGGGCCGCAAGGAGAAAUGGGCAAGUCCCAGAAUGGUCCUGGAACUGACGGAACCAGCGUCGACCGCAGCCAGGACCUACCAGUCUGAGCAUCAAGGUGGACCAGCAAUAUCUGGUGGACAGAGCAGAACAUUCACAGAGUGGGCACUUUGACAAGUGUCCACGUGACUGCCGCAAGGAAAAUCUCACUCAUAUCUGUGUCGCAGAACCAACCUUAACCAGAAGGAGAAGAAUGCAGGAGGAAACACCAAUUUGUGCUCAGGAACCCACGAGCAAUCGGUGACCGUAAGCCCAGGGAAGUCCGCAGCGACGUAGCCCUGCCCAGGUCUGAAGUCAAGAUCAGUGUGCAGAACACACGUAGGAGGGAGGGAGGGAGGAUUUCGAAGUGUGUGGAGUCCAGCUCGAGAGGGGCAGGAGAGGGAGUGGGGUGACCCUGCACCCUUCAUGGGUGAUCUCAGUUGCUACCUGAAGAGGUCAGGAAAGCAGAACGGACUCAGUAAGUAGAUCAGAGGGAAUUCUCAAGAGCAGAAAUCAAGGACCUGGGGAUAGAAAGUGAAAAGAAAAUGCUUCUUAGAGAAUCAGGUAAAGGAACAGACUCUAGUAAGACUGACCCGAGGGAGGGAGGAGGGAGGGAGGGAGGAAGAGAGGCCGCAGUCUGCAGGGUCAGGAGUACAUAAGGAGGGUCCCUGAGGACCUCCAGGGGCCAAGAGGGAAACAGGAGGACCCACCGAUUUAGGCUCAAGGAUUCGACGACUUAGAGGAAUGACCAGUUCCUUAAGAGCCAGGCACACAGACCCCACCUGAUGACCAGUGACGGGCAGCUGUGCAGACGUUGCACUGACCUGUGCCCAGGUCCCCAACUCCAUCUCCAGGCUGCGACUUCACUGGGGGACUGACAGGCGUGUAAAGGGUCAGCACCGAGCUCACGCGGUCUCUGCUGAUCGUCAAAGAGGGACACCCUGACCCUCCGAGUCAGGCCGGAUCAUCCUGAAAGGCCUCUGUGACUUCAGCCUUGUCCGCGGGGCCCUGGACCUGGGCCUUGGGACCUUUGCACCUGUUCUUGUGCUCCUUCUCUUCCGCCACUGGGCCACCUGGGCCUCAGGACCUUUGCACCUGUUCUUGUGCUCCUUCUCUUCCGCCACUGGGCCUGUGGGUCAGUGCCCCGGGGCCUUCCCCAGGAGCUGCCCCGGCUCCCGUCCUGGGCCAUGGGUGGCUCAUGGCCCACACUCUGGGCACCCCUCCCCUUCCCUUCCCUCUGCAGACCUUCGGUCCCCUUCUGGGGUGUGUCCUUCACUGACCUCCCACUGGUGGUGGCAUGGUUCCCUGCACCCGCAGCGCCUCGGUACGUUCUUGUCUUCGGGCCUGGUAUUGCCCGGCUCCGCCGUCCCCAGGUGGGGCCCUCCAUCUCCGGCCCUUUGAGAGGUCACUCCCGCCUUGUCCACGGCCUCUCUUUGCAGAACUCAGCAGUCACUUACUGCUUCAGCUGUCGCUGGCCCGCAGAGGACGCAGGGUCAGGAGAGGGGACGCCAGAGCUGGGUGUGGAAGGGUCUGUAGCCCUUUGGGCAGCCAGGAGGAGCCCACCUGCUGGGCCUGUGCAGACCAGCUGGGGGCCCCACGUGGCGGAGGCUGUGGCAGGAGCCACACGCUCCAUGGCUCCCUGGGACCUGCGAGAGGCCUGCCAGGUGCGGUCCGCAGAGGGCUCCUUGCUGGGCCAGGGUGGCAGCACCGUGCAGGCAGCCAGAGCUGAGGAGGGGCAGCUGGCAGAACCUGGCGCCCGCUCUGCCCACGUCAGCCGAGGCAGCUCCCGCGUCUGCUAAGCCUCACACCCGCAGCCGCCAGGCACCCGGAAGAAAAGGGCCCCUUCAGAAGCCAGGAGGGGGGGGGCGAGGUGACAGUGCUGUGCCCCCCACCUCCCGGGCUCACCUGCAGACAAGGGUCGCCCCUGCACGGGGGCUGAGACUGCUGGCUCCAUGGUGACCUGGUCCCAGGGGAGAGGGAAGGGAAGAGGAGGGAAGGCUGAGAAUGGAGGCCAGGUAGGGCAAGCCUCCCUCUUGUGCCCCCCCACAGCCUCGUGCUCUGUGACCAGGCUCUCAGCACUUCCAGAGGCACCAGGGCACACACCCAGCUCCGGGGGCAACCGCCUCGGGAAGAGGAGAGGCUGCAUGCUGAGACCCGCGGCCGCAGCUCUGGGACUGGGCGGGCGCUGCAGGCCCAGCUGGAGCUGUGGCCUGGGACCGCGGUGUGUGGCGGGUCCCUGUGCUUUUUGACAUGGAUUCCUUACUAAACAGAAACGCAGGUCUCACUCCAGGCAGGGUAGUGGCCAGCCUUGGUAGCUGGACAUUUUCAAAGCCAGUUUUUAAUGGAAAAUCUUGAGCUUUUCCUAUAAAAUGGGUGAAACCUUGAAUCCAUGAAGAUCUGUUCACAGCCAGACAAGUAGGUGAGCAGCGGAUAGAGACGUCCUGGCAAAGCUGGGCUGGAGGAGCAGGGCCCGGGGCCGGCCGUGGGCCUGGUGCUGCUGCCGUCGGCAGGCCUCACCAGCACCAGAGCCUCAAGGUCAGAGCCUCAAGGUCAAGUGCCCCGGAAGAGUGGCCAGCCCAAGACCCCGAGCCCAGCAAGCACAGUCCUCCCGGCCAGGCUGGGUCUCCACCGCUCUCUCAGGAGACUGUCCAACAGGGUGAGUGGUGGGAAUGUCCACUCAGGGAGUGUGUCAAGGCCCGUGGACGCCAGGCUGUGGACUCUCCAGAAGGACGGUUGGGCUCCUGGUUGUGGACAGGAGAGUGGAGGGGUACAGCUGUCCUGGUGAUGGGCCUCUUCUAGAAUUAGCAGUAGCGUCCAUUUCUCAGCAGGGUGCACCUGUGGGACUCCAGGGGGCAGAGCACUCCAGGGGGUGACUCGGCCCUGUGACGCUGGGCACAGGUCUGUGACAGCCGCCCAAGCUGCCUGCUGACCAUAUCUGGGCGGAGAUGAGACACGGCCAUUUCAGGGGACUGUGUUGGAAGGGCAGGUCCUCCCCUCAGGGGCCCUCACCGCCGGCAGCGGAGCCCGCCCUGCCUGGCCCUCCAUCUCAGCACAAACCCAGCCGGGGCUUCCCUUUCCCCCAGUCAGCCCGGGUCCACCGAGGCACAGGGGACAGGGUGUGAGGUUUCAUGCCGUGGCCUCAGAGCCUGGGGACAGAUGGGAUCCAGAUGGAUCCUGAGGGCUCCAUUUUAGAAACAGACUUUUAACACAGGGGCUUGAAAUUCCAUUUAAUUUAGUGGGCGUGAAGGACCUCAGCUGGUUUUCUUUUAGGAAAGAUUCAUUGCGUAGCAGAAAGGAAAUCGGCACAUGAGUCACCUGGACCUGGGGACCGGAGGAGGGUGGCCUUGAUUGGCCCUCCGCUGGGCAACUCCGCCUGAUGUUCAGUUCUGCUCCGGGCGCGUCAAAAGGAACUCAGUCAGCCCAACAGAGGCACUUCUCACGCUCCAAACAGAUGUUCCGCGUUGCUCAGUCCGCAAACCCCAACCAGAACUCUUCAAGUGGCCUCGGCUCAGACUGAGGUGGUGUGCAAAUUCAGAUCCUGUUGCAUUUCAAACCGGAGUUUUACAUGGAAAGAGAACGUCAGGCCCCAGAAUGUUUCAAGUGUGAACAAACCUGUAAGGACAUGUGCAGUAUCGUGUCACUGGUGGCGUUUAUCUUAAUCAAGUCACUUCAUCGCAGCAGCCGGCGGUGCUCCUUCAGGGUCUCAGCACUUAGACCAAGGCCAAAGCUGCAGAAAGAGACCCCCGAGGUCCCGGAAGUGCUGAGCCCAGGCCACCAGACCCGCUGCGGGGAGCCUCCUGGGCGCCCCGGGUAUGGGGGUACUGCUGGGCGCACACCUGCCAUCCACAGUGAGCAAAGCAGAGCCUCCCGGCCUUCCACAUGGGGCUCCCUGGGAACGAGAAGGCAAGAGACAGGGGCCCUGGGAGCCCAGGAGGAGCCCAGCUCUGGAGAUGAGAUUUCCAGGAACAGGCCCCAUUCCUCCCCAGCUCGCAGGCCCCGAGUCAUGCAUGAUGGUUUCCAUUACAGGAAUUUUCUGAGGGAAAAUUUUCCACAUCUUUUAAGAUUCUUGGAAGACGGAUGCUGAUGUUAGUUACAUGGAAUGAACCCAUUUAUCAACCGAGGUGUCAGAGGAUGGAUAAAGACUCCUUAAGCAUGUUAGAAAUGUAAGCACAUAAAUACUGUGAGAAAAAUUGAAAAAAUACACAGAAAAAUUGAAGUAGGUAAUUCCCAAAACCAAGAGCUUCAAAAACAGAAUCGGUGCAUGUGAAGCUCCCGUACAGAUCUGAACACACAUGCAGGUGUUCACACAUGCACAGUUCACAGAGAACUGAAAAGGAAAAGGCUUUACACAGAGAACCAGCCAACAUCUCUGACCUACUUGAGUUAAAGAAAAUAGUGGAUAUGGUAGCCACGCCUGUAAUCCCAGCAGCUGGGGAGGCUGAGGUGGGAGAAUUGCAAGUUUGAGGCCGGCAGCCUCAGCAACUUAGCAAGGCACUAGGCAGCUUCGCAAGA